Molecule: long non-coding RNA, 2382 nt
Filed under: Megachile rotundata (alfalfa leafcutting bee)
Lineage: Eukaryota; Metazoa; Arthropoda; Insecta; Hymenoptera; Megachilidae
Description: uncharacterized LOC105662471, transcript variant X2
Source: RNAcentral
UCUUUCAUACCGAAGAAUUAAUUUCAAAAUCAUAAAACAGUUUACGAUUCGUGAUCAGAGUCUACAGGAGAACAGCAGCAGCAAAAAACAGCAACUUGAUUCACGGAACCAAUGACUUAAUGAAUCGCGUUGCGGAAGGGACUCAUCUCUUUAAAUCUGCAAUCAGUUUCAGUUCUUUAUUACGAUGUCCUUGGCGGGCGGCUAUUAAGUCUCGAAAGAUCUUCGAUUUCCUCCACGGUGCAUGUAUACUUUCUCCGUGCUUUGUCCCGUCGCACGUUUACCGAUCGAAUCAGAGUGAAAGGGGGAAGCAGAGGAGGGGUUGGAGCAAGGGAAGGGUGAAAAAAAUCGGGACACGUCGGAUCGGGCUACCGUAAAAGCGAACGGGUCGAAGAUGGUAGCAGGAGAGCCAUCGAUAAAAUGCACACAAUGAGGAAACGGUAAAUUCUGACCAAAAUCCUUCCAAAAAACUAUGAUGCAUCAAACAGAAAGAAUGGAAAUUUUAUAAGUUAUUUCCGAGUCCCCAGAAGUAAAAAAAGAAGAAAAUAGUCGAGCGCCAUCUUGCGAAAGGAACAUCUCAUAAGAUGGACGUAGAACCUGUUAACAGAAGUAUCUAUGUAUUAAUAGAAGUAGAUUAAAAUAUUCUGAAAAAUAAGUUAUUUCCGAAUCCCCAGAAGUAAAAAAAGAAGAAAAUAGUCGAGCGCCAUCUUGCGAAACGAACAUCUCGCAAGAUGAACGUCGAGUAGUAAGAGAAUAAGGGUUCGAAAUAUCAAUAAGACGUCGAUAGUGUAUCGAUAAUCGUUUCCGUACGAAAUGCGGCUUUUCAGACUACUGUAUACGGCAAGGGGUAUUCGUGAGAGGGGGUGAGAGCCCGGUCGCGCCGAUCGCAGUUUCUUAUAGCGCGGUGGGACAGAAAAGAUCCGCCGCAAAAAAGGACCGCCCUGGCUGCGUGGACGCGCAGAAUCUGCAAUUAUAUCGCAAAAAAGGAGCCGAGUGUCCGGGACAAACUGCUUCCUGGCCCGUAAACAAUGCUGCCAAAUAAGUCGGCGGGCAUAAAUCGUUGGUCGUGUUCCCUGGUUGGCUGGCUUUGGCUUGUGCUGUUUGGUCGGCGUGCUCGCGCGAGCAGCUUCCCAAUCGCACGAUAAAAAGCCAAUCGAUCGCUAAACUCUUUAUUCCGCCGCUGAAAAGCUCGGCCGAACGAAACCGGGAGGAUGGGUCCUUCAGUUCAGGGAGAUUCGGAUUUACGAGUUCGGAUAUUGCGAUAUAAAGUUUCUUAUUUCGACUGCGUCCGAUGGAUGUUGAUAUAUCGAUUUAAUCGACCUCCAGGUGAACGUAAAGCGAUACGUCGUCCCAAAAGAAAACAUAAACGACCUGAACGAUGACGAGGUAAGAACUUACUGAAAGUCGCGAACACCGGACAUCGUUUUUGAAAGAUUGAAGAAUCGAAGUAUAAUCAGUUACACGUCAUUUUGCCAGGUAAUUUCUCUCGAUUCCAUCGUGCAGCGGUCGUUAAAAAGUAACAGGAGGGCGUGGAACGGAAUCGCGGUUAAUGGUCGAUUUACGCGCGAUAAAGUCGUACACCGGAGAGGGCAGCUUCGAUAUAUAUUAAAGCGCGAUCCGUUUAGUGGCAAUUACAGGCUAAUUCGCGCCUUCGUAAAUCAGACGUUGAUUCGCGGAUCUGUGCCACCCUUUUUCACCGACGUCCUACGUGACCGGUUUUGAUGAGAUAUUACAAAGAUACACCCUAGCUGUUCUCGGUUACUUUAUCUGAUUAACGACGUAUUUCCAUCUUCGAGAGAUGUAUUACCCCUGGAAAUCUUAUCAAUUUAGAUUAACACGUUUGCUACCCACUUGCAUUUAUUAAAUAGGUUAUAGGUUCUUUUCAUGGAGGUUAUACGUCCAUUACUGUUUUUCGUAGUAAACCCAAGAUUAUAGUGGUAUAUUCCAUUUUUGGAAUUUGGGAACUUGGAGAUGUGGUUUGGGAAUUUGGGGAUGUAGAGUUAUGGAGGUUUAAGUGUGUGGCAAGUUGGGGAUGUGAGGAUUUGAGGAUGUUACAAUUUGGGGAUGUGAAGGUUUAAGGAUGUAACAAGUUAGAGAUGUGAAGAUUUGAGGAUGUGACAAUUUGGAGAUGUGGAGGUUUAAGGAUAUGACAAGUUGGGGAUGUGAGGAUCUGAGGAUGUGACAACUUGUGGGUGUAGGUAUUUAGGAUUUUAAAGAUCUGAAGAUGUGAGGAUUUGGAAAUGUGAGAAUAUGGAGAUGUGAGGAUCUGAGGAUGUGAGGAUUUGAAGAUGUGUGGAUCUGAGGAUGUGUUGAUCUGAGGAUGUGAGGAUUUGACGAUGUGAGGAUCUGGGGAUGUGAGGAUAUGGGGGUGUGAGGACCUGAGGA